This 465-nucleotide ribosomal RNA is filed under the name uncultured bacterium. RNAcentral's name for it is "partial 16S ribosomal RNA". It matches the Rfam family "Bacterial small subunit ribosomal RNA", at positions 339 to 795 of the family's 1533-position model. The record is from RNAcentral.
CUACGGGCCGCAGCAGUGGGGAAUAUUGGACAAUGGGGGAAACCCUGAUCCAGCAAUGCCGCGUGUGUGAAGAAGGCCUGCGGGUUGUAAAGCACUUUCGGUUGGGAGGACUGCUUCUAGCACUAAUAUUGUUGGAAGUUGACGUUACCUUCAGAAGAAGCACCGGCUAACUCCGUGCCAGCAGCCGCGGUAACACGGAGGGUGCAAGCGUUAAUCGGAAUUACUGGGCGUAAAGCGCGCGUAGGCGGCUAGAUCAGUCGGGUGUGAAAGCCCCGGGCCUAACCUGGGAACUGCAUCCGAUACUGUCUAGCUUGAGUACAGGAGAGGAGAGUGGAAUUCCACAUGUAGCGGUGAAAUGCGUAGAUAUGUGGAGGAACACCAAUGGCGAAGGCAGCUCUCUGGCCUGAUACUGACGCUGAGGUGCGAAAGCGUGGGGAGCAAACAGGAUUAGAUACCCUCGUAGUC